AUAAAGGCUUUUAAUAUUUAUUUAAAAUAUUCUUAUUGUACAUCCAUUACAACCAGAUUUUAUUUUAUAUAAUGUGAUAUUGUAACGUUGACUUACAUUAAAAAAGUCUAUUAAAAAUGCAACGUUCUCAACUUUUAUAAUUAUUUGCGCUGAAUCUUUACAGGUGAAUGGAUUAGGGUUUCAAGAGUAUUCAAAAGUCCUAACUUGUAAAGUAAAUUGCUAUCACCAUUAACAUUUAUCAACUGCUACAGUUUCUCGCCACCCCCUUCCUAAUGCCCCUCUGCCCAACAAGCAUUUUACUUGGGCGCAAACUUGUGCUAAUGAUAAUGAUGAUACUGGAAGAGGAGUGGAGGGGGCAGACGGAUGCUCUCUCCUGGAAGUUGUUUACCAAGUUGCCAAAUGGCCAAUUCGCUUAGCUAAUUCAUAUUGGCAGGCCGUUUGUCUUUAUCGCCGCCUGCCAUCGCAGACGGAAAUUUAUUGAUAGGCAGUGAAAGGCUUGGGAAAACUAAACUGGAGUUGAGCCGAAGUCAGCCUCAGCUCAGCCCAGGCCUGCAAUUGAAGCAUUAUAAUUCACUUCAUUAAUAAUUUAUUCUGACCCACAUUCCCCGCAAAAUCCAGCCAGGCAGAUCAAACCGCAAAAUAAACGUUAAAUGAGCUUUUUCUCAGGAAUGUUUUGACUUCUAAAGGGUACAAUAAACCUAAUAGAUUUAGAUUGAGGAACUUAUUAAACAUCUUUUAAAAAUUUUGGCUUAAAUUGAUGCGCAACCAUGCCUUAUGCCAAACUGUAUCAUUGUAUUUUAGGAAAUAGGUCCAGGGCAUCUGUUCGUCGAGCUGCGAUCGCUCGUUCUUUGUGUAGUUUUUGCAAUAAUUAAAGCUCAUCUUCGGAAACCGUUUUGUGACUAAUUUAACCAAUAAUGAAGCGUGUUUUGUGGUGAUUAGAAGUUGCCCAAAAAAGAACCGCCAACCAAAAUCAGUAAAAACAACUGCAGAAGGUGGCCGAUGGAAAGCGGGCCACAAAUUUAACGCUCAUUACGCGCACGGCUUGACGUGACCAUCGGCGGUGACGCGAGUUUCGUGGGCAGUGGUUUCUGUUUGGGUUCUGUUUUGGGAGCCCCGGGUGUCUCCACCUGCCCCAAAACGAGGGAAAUUGCGAUCCAUUUUAUGAGUGGAAACUUAACAAUGUUUUGCCUAUUAGUUAGAAUGCUUCUAAUAUACCACCGGGCAUGUGUGUGUCUGCUGCGGGGGAAGCUCAACAAAAAUUGAGGCUACUGUUGCACACGACGCCGCCAUCGAGGGAACUUUGCCACUUCACUCCUCAGAGCGAUCUGUCUGCGGCUCAGUGGAGUUCUUGGCGUUUUCCUACUUUUUUGGGGCCCUAAUGAGGCCCGGCUAUUGAGUUAUGAUCGUACAAUUUGCCGGAGAUACUUAAGAUACUCGGCGGACCACCCGGGCUAAGACAUUUGCCACUCAUCAGACCGCCCAACUGUUAAUCUCGGUGGGGCAUGCAACGGCGGGAGGAGUGCUCUUUGGCAGUGUUCUUGUCAAGGCGGUGAAUUGGAAAAUUGCCGGUCCAGAGGUGGGGGCCAUUUGGCUUUUCCUGGGGACUCAAGAACUCUUUUGUUCUCAUUAAGGUCUCGGCCAAGAUUGGAGGCUCUGAUAUUUCUUGGAAUUGGGGAGACUCUGAAAACGGAUAAUCGACUUUUUAUGUCCGACCGUUUCUCUAAUAAUGAAUUCAGUCACUAUUUAUUAAGUUCCUUACAUUAUCCCUCAGUAAAAUGUAAUUUCAGUGAAUCUACUAAAAAUUAUUUAAAGCUUUAAAACCAAGACUAUAUAUGUAAGCUUAUUAUAUUAAAUUAAUCUUAAAUAGUUACAAUACAUUACAAUAGAAUUUUAAACCAACAUAGCCAUAGCGAGCGCUAUACUAUUUAAUUUAGUUUAGUUAUGUAAACUACUCUAUCUAAAAAUAAUAAAAACCCAAAUAAAUGAUUAUAAACCUAAUGCAAUUAACCACUUCUGUUCAUUUUCAGAUACAACAAAUUAGUUUCAUUUCUGUGGCGAAGUCAACUAAGUGACCUUAUCCAUAAGAACCCCGAUUGUCAGCACUACCAUAUUCGGUUGCACCUCCCCUUUCCACAUGCUCACACACUGCUGACACACUUUGCCUUGAUUUACCUUCAUUGAGAGCCGAGAGAAAUGCCUUCGAGAGGUUUCCGAGAAAACGGACUUGGGCCUUCUUUGGGCCACGUUCACUUUGGCCUAACGCGUGCCGCCACUUGCCGGGGCACAUGGGCUGCACGAAUUUUGGCGACCGUAACAGUUGCAACCUGCCACCGAGGUGAACGGGAACGGCCCAUUGUCCAUCGAUUAUUGUAAAAUAUAAAAACCUUUGACAAGAAAAGACUUUUAACUCACGCGCUUUUGUGACUAUGCCUUUGGCAAACCACCUGUUCUUCUGCGCAGAGAUAAUCUUUAAUCGCUGGGGCUCGGCCUAUGAGAACUAAGGAUCCCUUGAUUUUCGCAUUUUGCGCUGAAAAUUACCAAACUCCAGACAAGCUCAUCAUUCACCGAAAGCCAAAAACUUCAGGCACUUGCUCAAAAAAAGAGAGAUAAAGAUGAGGAAUAUAUCUUUUCAGCCUUUUUGUCGGCUUUGACUGCUUUCUUUGCAACAUUUCAACGUUUUGCGGCAACUUCGUUAACGUUUACUUUCUCCUUCGAUGUGUACUUUUUCCUGCUAUUUUUUGCUUCUAGCUAAAAUAAAACCUAGUAUUACUCAUAAAAUAGCUUGGGCAAACAAUAAGCUAAAAACAUAAAAUGCUGGCUGUUGCUUUUGGACCCUAGCGCGUGCCAAUUGCAUAACUACAAAUGUAACAACAAACGUAGCAGCAAAAAUGUUGAUAAACAUUUCAGCGGCUUAAUGAGCAACAAAUUGAAUUCGUAAUUGAAGUGUUUGACGAGCGUUGAAGCGUCGCAUUCGUUUGCUGGAUUUUGGCUUUGGAUGUGGCUCCGUUUGUUGAUGUUGUUAUCCAGCUGUUUUUCAUGCAACAAUUUCCCGCUAAAGCUGUUGCUGAACCUCUAACGAAAAUAAUAUCGAAAAGCUGGUGUAAUCAGACUGCGUGCAUUCGAGUGGCGCCCCCUCAAGUGGAGCCUACUACUGGUAGAGACACAACCCGCCGAAAUUGGAUUUCGACGAGCUGGGGAAAUGUGCAAGAUCGUUAAACGGUUAGUUGAAUUGGGGCUAUCAUCAUAUACAUAUAUGCUGGAUGCUUAGCACUUGAAUGGCACUUGGCACACAGCCAAACAUCGUGCGUCAUCCGCGGAAUAAGAAACAGAUCGAGAUCGUGGACGACGGCUGGCGAGAUACAAAGUUUUCGAGUCAAGACUAAAAAGUCGGGCCCGAAACUGGUGUUAAUUCAAUUACGACGAGCCUAAUAACUAAUAUGCAUAGGAGGAUCGUAUUGAGUGCUAAACGAGUUGGCUGUAAACGAAUCUGGCAGCGAGCAUGCUGUAUCUGCUGGAUGGGAUUGAUGCUUUCAUUUCGAUUCCAGGGCCUCGGGUAACUAUGUGCUUGCGUAAUUAACGUCUUGGUCAAGCGUGGAGAAAAAGUCUAGUACGAGUACUGAGAAAAAGAUGAAAAUGAAAAGAAAGCCAAGAGCAUCUGAUAGUACGUGCCCAGCACUUGACAAUCUUCGGAGCUAAAGAUAGAUGCCUGGGGAAAAAGACGGCGACGCACUCCGAAAUUGAAACACAAAAGAAAUAACGAAUUAUUGUGAUUAUUAUUAGGAGACACAAUUGAUUUGGCAUGCGGUCUGAAUCGGAAUCGGAAUCGGAGAUGGAGCUGAGUUUGAAGACCCUAGCCGAUCCAAGAGCUGUAGAAAAUUGAAUUUCUUAGGUUGGAAUAGGUAUUGGAAUCGGAAUUGGAAUUGAAGAAACACAGCCCAGCCGAAGAUUUCACUUCGCCGCAGACAAAUGAAAAAAUAUCCCAAACAAAACAAAGCAAAUGAAAUGAAAUGAAGAAAACUUUCCAACAAAGAGAAAAAUUAAUCAAAUGAUGACGACGUAGCCACGAGUCACAAUCUCAACCGAGCUUCAAGUUCAUCUCCCAAAUCAUUUGUCAGAAAGGCGCACUACAAACACACUUAGAUCGCAGCAAACUACAAGAUACUUCUACAACUUCCGCUACAAGCCGACAUUGUUGCAAAUCUGCAGUGCGAUGGAUGAACCGAGGGUAACAAUUUGGUUUUACUUUUAUCUUUGCCUUUGUCUGAUGCCCGGUGCUGCACAUUGGAUCUCGGACCCUGCAAAUCGCAGUUGUUGGGUGAAAUUUGUUUGCGGCUUGUAAAUGAGUUUCAAUUGUGUUUGAAGCCAUGCAAAAGAAAUUAAAUGAACUUAAAUACAAUUUUAAGCUUUUAAGCUUAGAAACUCUAA
Drosophila yakuba is the source of this 4425-nucleotide long non-coding RNA. RefSeq lists it as uncharacterized. Lineage: Eukaryota; Metazoa; Arthropoda; Insecta; Diptera; Drosophilidae. The transcript has 4 exons. The record is from RefSeq and is a predicted model, not a curated record.